AUUCUCCAAACUUCAACUUGUAAGCAUCCACCUAGAGAAUUAGCGAUAAAGACUGUAUUCCCGGAGAAGAGGCUCGACCAAAGCUAACACAUACAAGAACACUAGGAGGGUGCUAACCGAUUGCGAACACAUAGGAAGCUGAUUCAAAUGGCAGCAAAAACGAAGGACCGAGAUGGGACUAACGCCAAGACAACACAAGCUAACGGGGCUUAAUAGCAGGAGCUCACUCGCAAAGAAGAGCCGCAUCUCCACUUCAGAAUAACGAUCACCUGAGCUUAAUAGCAGGAACUCACAAGAAGAAGGAGUCGCAUCUCCACUCGGAACCAGAAACGAUCACCCGAGCUUAAUAGCAGGAACUCACAAACAAAGAGGAGUCGCAUCUCCACUCAGAACCAGAAACAAGGAAGCUUAAUAGCAGGAGCCCACAAAUAAAGGAAAGCCGCAUCUCCACACACCGAAGCCUUACUACAUCCUCCUACAGCUCAACAAACUAAACAGCAAACCACAACCAAGAAACCCGCAGAUGCCGCAACAAUAGUAACGAGACCACCAGGCUUACACAAC
RNAcentral lists this long non-coding RNA (564 nucleotides) under Brassica napus (rape). RNAcentral describes it as "long non-coding RNA (BNAP_LNC008004)". The record is from RNAcentral. Lineage: Eukaryota; Viridiplantae; Streptophyta; Magnoliopsida; Brassicales; Brassicaceae.